CCUACGGGUGGCAGCAGUAGGGAAUUUUCGUCAAUGGGGGGAACCCUGAACGAGCAAUGCCGCGUGAGUGAAGAAGGUCUUCGGAUCGUAAAGCUCUGUUGUAAGAGAAAAACGGGUAUCAUAGGGAAUGAUGAUAUCGUGAUGGUAUCUUACCAGAAAGCCACGGCUAACUACGUGCCAGCAGCCACGGUAAUACGGAGGGUGCGAGCGUUAAUCGGAAUUACUGGGCGUAAAGCGCUCGUAGGCGGUAUGUCAAGUCAAGGGUGAAAUCCCCGCGCUCAACGUGGGAACUGCCUUUGAAACUGGCAAACUGGAGUGUGUGAGAGGAUAGUGGAAUUCCAGGUGUAGGAGUGAAAUCCGUAGAUAUCUGGAGGAACAUCAGUGGCGAAGGCGACUAUCUGGCACAUAACUGACGCUGAGGAGCGAAAGCGUGGGUAGCAAACAGGAUUAGAUACCCUAGUAGUC
Molecule: ribosomal RNA, 465 nt
Filed under: uncultured bacterium
Lineage: Bacteria
Description: partial 16S ribosomal RNA
Rfam family: Bacterial small subunit ribosomal RNA
Source: RNAcentral